AAGCGCUUGCAACCAGACUUGCACGCGGUUGAUCAUCCGGUGUUCUCACCGGUGCACUCGACCGUGUUCAGGCCAGCAUCGGUUCAGGUGGUGGGAUAAAGGCUUUGGGAACGUAGCUCCUCGGAGUGUUAUAGCCCUUUGCACAAUACCCUGGGCCGGACUGAGGACCGCGCAUCUGCAAGGAUGCUGGCGUAAUGGUCAUCAGCGA
RNAcentral lists this ribosomal RNA (208 nucleotides) under Hypocreales sp. Its description in RNAcentral is "partial large subunit ribosomal RNA". The record is from RNAcentral. Lineage: Eukaryota; Fungi; Ascomycota; Sordariomycetes; Hypocreales.